CUGCUAUUCAAGCAUGAUGAUGCAAGAGGAUGGUGGUUGAACCAACUUGCAAGUAGCCUACCAAUAAGCACUUUAUUUUUCAAUGUAUUAUGUGUGGAGUCAAUUGAAGGGACUAUGUUUCAUGAUGAAACCAUUAGAAGACUGGUGCUGAGAGGAGUAACCUAACUAUCAGAAGCAGAGGAUCUAUUUUGGUUGCUGCUGACAACUACUGCAAGUUGUUCUUCUACAUCAUAAUAAUUAUAUGUCUGCAUAGCAUUUUGUCUUCAUUUUGGCAGAUUAAUUAAUGCUUA
Molecule: long non-coding RNA, 290 nt
Organism: Coregonus clupeaformis (lake whitefish)
Lineage: Eukaryota; Metazoa; Chordata; Actinopteri; Salmoniformes; Salmonidae
Exons: 3
Source: RefSeq, a predicted model, not a curated record